This 501-nucleotide ribosomal RNA is filed under the name uncultured bacterium. RNAcentral's name for it is "partial 16S ribosomal RNA". It matches the Rfam family "Bacterial small subunit ribosomal RNA", at positions 28 to 507 of the family's 1533-position model. The record is from RNAcentral.
GACGAACGCUGGCGGCGUGCUUAACACAUGCAAGUCGAACGGUGAAGCACCUUCCUUUUGGUGGGUGUGGAUGAGUGGCGCACGUGUGAGUAACACGUGAGUAACCUGCCCCCUUCUUCUGGAUAACCGCAUAAAAGUGUGGCUAAUACGUGAUAUUCUGUACCUGCUGCGUGGGGGGUGUGGGAAAGAUGCGCUUUUGGGUUUUUGUUGUGUGGGAUGGGCUCUCGGCCUAUAAGCUUGUGGGUGGGGUGUUGGCCUACCAGGGCGGGGACGGGUAGCCGGGAUGAGAGGGUGGAAGGCUGCAUGGGGACUGCGGCACGGCCCAGAAUGCUACGGGAGGGAGCGGUGUGGACCAUUGCACAAUGGAGGCAAGCCGGAUGCCGCGACGCCGCGGAAGGGAGGGAGGCCUUCGGGUUGUAAACCUCUUUCGCAAGUGAAGCAGGCCUGUUAACUGUGGGUGGGUUGACGGUAGCUGGAGAAGAAGCGCCGGCUAACUACGUG